UGAGGAACAUGACUUUCGGUGGGGGAGUAGCCGGCCCAACGGCCGGGUAAUACCGCGUACGACCAUUUGGGGACAUCCCCGAGUGGUGAAAGCAGCAAUGCGCCGAAAGAGUGCCUCGCGGCCUAUCAGCUAGUUGGUGAGGUAAUGGCUCACCAAGGCGACGACGGGUAGCCGGCCUGAGAGGGUGACCGGCCACACUGGGACUGAGACACGGCCCAGACUCCUACGGGGAGCAG
Molecule: ribosomal RNA, 236 nt
Filed under: uncultured bacterium
Lineage: Bacteria
Description: partial 16S ribosomal RNA
Rfam family: Bacterial small subunit ribosomal RNA
Source: RNAcentral